Molecule: ribosomal RNA, 460 nt
Filed under: uncultured bacterium
Lineage: Bacteria
Description: partial 16S ribosomal RNA
Rfam family: Bacterial small subunit ribosomal RNA
Source: RNAcentral
CCUACGGGAGGCAGCAGUGAGGAAUAUUGGUCAAUGGGCGAGAGCCUGAACCAGCCAAGUUGCGUGAGGGAAGACGGUCCUAUGGAUUGUAAACCUCUUUUGCCGGGGAGCAAAAAGCGGUACGCGUACCGCAUCGAGAGUACCCGGAGAAAAAGCAUCGGAUAACUCCGUGCCAGCAGCCGCGGUAAUACGGAGGAUGCGAGCGUUAAUCGGAAUUACUGGGCGUAAAGGGUGUGCAGGCGGCUGAGUAAGACAGAUGUGAAAUCCCCGGGCUUAACCUGGGAACCGCAUAUGUGACUGCUUGGCUAGAGUGCGUCAGAGGGAGGUGGAAUUCCACGUGUAGCAGUGAAAUGCGUAGAUAUGUGGAAGAACACCGAUGGCGAAGGCAGCCUCCUGGGACGCAACUGACGCUCAUACACGAAAGCGUGGGGAGCAAACAGGAUUAGAUACCCCUGUAGUC